AUUUUCUCUAGUUCUUAUCUUUGUUCUCUAUGAGGCAGCGCUGAAAACAACUUGCCUGACUUGUAACUGAGUCACUCAGAGCAGCUUUCUCCUUUGCCUUUGAAAAAUAGGUGUAGCCCUGUGCAGUCAGCUGGCAGCAUAAUGCAUGGCUAUUUCUCCAGCCGAGCUCAAAUGCGAUUAACCCAGCCUGAGUUCACACAAAGGAGUACACGACUGAAUCUCCAGCAGGUGGGUGGUUUCACUCCACUGUUCUUAGUGCAGGACAGUCCCCUCUGGUUGCAGAGCACUUGCAACAUUGGGAAUUUCUUUUACGAGAGCAUGGAGAAGUCCCAGACGUAAGAACGUCAUUAAAUCCCCACAUUUCUUAGGUAUGAAAAUAUUAAGUUCAAAAUAAAGCUUCCCACUUAAAACAAUUUAAAGAGCCGCACCCAGUUAAAGCACUCACUGACGAGCAGGGAAAACAAAGCACCAAUGCUGUGCAACAGCCCACGUUGCAGCAGGCCCUGCAGUAACGCUGCUUAUGCCCUCCUUUGGAAGAUAAGAUGUUAUCUACUGCAGUGGGUUCCCUUCCAGGACCUCCAGAGCCAACAAACCCCGUCAGGCUUCCAGAAUCUGAUGAGCAGGAGGAGCAGUAGGAUACCCACACUUCAACAGACAGGAGAGGAGCUUAAUAAGCAAACAUAGGAAGCAUUUGGUUCUCACACAUCUCGGGGAGAGCUACCAAAUGCACGUUAUGAAAAUAGAAAAACAUCUACAUCUCCUACUGGUUUCUUACUUCUAAAGUAUCCAAAAUGCUUUUCUGGUAUAAAGAGAUGUAUGAGCUGAUAGAAGACUGCCUACUACAGGCUAUGGAGUUGCCUAAAGAUACAUUUGCAUGCAUAUUUGUGGAAAAAAAUAUCAGGAGAAGAGAGUUAAGGUCACAAAUACUCACAGUUACAGGGAUUCCCUGCACAGGGAUGUUACUCUUACUACAGAGAGCUAUAAGGUGCUCCUCACAACUGCCCUGGUUAUACCUCAGCAAAACCUUAACCAGGUGCAUGGUAUGUCUGACGAUGAGCUUAAAUUCUCAUGAUUCUGGUCUUGUUUCGUUUGCAAACCAAAAUUCCUUGAACUAAUUUUGCUAACAUGAAGGAGAGCUGACCCCAGCUUUUCUAACAGUCCAUCACAGUGACACCUAUAAUGCAUUUCACAUCAGCUGGCAAAGGCCGUGCCCUGAGCUGCCCCUCCCCAGGCAGCAGAGCAGCAGGGCUUUGAAGGGUAAAGAGGUGCUUUGAGGGCACAACUGAUUCAGUUUUGAAACCAAAAUGCUCAUAGCCAAAAACAAAAGCACAGCAGAUGCUGGGAGAAGAAGCUCAGGUACACAAAUGGGGUCUGGAAGCAGAGCUCAGUACAGAGAGAGCUAUAAUAUGAUGGAAAGCACAACAACAGCAGAGGACCAAGAUUCCAGGCUACAGCAAGUAAGGAUUUGCUGAAACACAACAAUCAUGGGCACAAAAACAAAGGAAAGAAGCUACUUACCUUUAGAAGGCCUCCAGCACACAGAGAUCUCCAGCAAGAUACCCUCAUCUCCCCCUGCCAACUCUUAAAUGAGGUUUGGGAAAGGGGAGGAUUCUGACUCCACCUCCUCCAAUCACUGAGGUACAUUGCCUGCACCUGAGCUCCCCUGGGUUGGCCCUGCCUUCCCACCAGGUGCUCAAUCACUGCUUCAAGCUGUGAUUCAGCAUUUCUGUUACACAAACAAAUGAAGAAAACCAGCAUAUACCCACCUCCGUGUAUACACACAGCAAAAUCAGAACAUUUACUAUGAAGAUAUUUAUGCAACCUCUGUAGGCUUAGUCACAGACAAAAACAUCGCAUCCAUCUGUCACGCUGGAUCAAAUAACUGAUCCAUCAAACCUAAUAAGUACUUCUGGAAAGCAGAAGAAAGACAUUCUCACAGAAUUGUGCCUCUUAAAGACACAGCCCUGUUCUCACACUGUGUGUAAGGAGGAGCGAGGCAGGUCCAAAAUGUCUAUGCCACAUCAAGGGUCACUUCAGGUCUCUCAGAGCACAUCAAGCAGCAGGAAUUGCAGAAGGAUAGAACUGCUCAGGGCAGAGGAAAGCAAGGAGCCCUUCUGCAACAUACCUCUCACCAGAUCUGUGUGUGUUCUCAGCCCAGGUGAAACUCCUCCUCUUCUCUGAGGUCGGCCCUGCACCCUUUCAGCUGCGCCUGCCGGGCCACAC
Long non-coding RNA from Gallus gallus (chicken), 2223 nucleotides. Lineage: Eukaryota; Metazoa; Chordata; Aves; Galliformes; Phasianidae. The record is from Ensembl.